UGAAGAACGCAGCGAAAUGCGAUACUUGGUGUGAAUUGCAGAAUCCCGUGAACCAUCGAGUCUUUGAACGCAAGUUGCGCCCGAAGCCACUAGGCCGAGGGCACGCCUGCCUGGGCGUCACACGUCGUUGCCCCCCACCAUCUACUCCUUCGGGAUUGCGGGGGGCGGAUGAUGGCCUCCCGUGCGCCUAGCCGCGCGGUUGGCAUAAAUACCAAGUCCUCGGCGACGCACGCCACGACAAUCGGUGGUUGCGAAACCUCGGUUGCCCGUCGUGUGCGUUCGUCGCGCAUCGAGGGCUCGAAAAAAUGCUCGGCUCCGGCUCGGCUUUCAACGCGACCCCAGGUCAGGCGGGGUUACCCGCUGAGUUUAAGCAUAUCAAUAAGCGGAGGA
RNAcentral lists this unclassified non-coding RNA (390 nucleotides) under soil metagenome. RNAcentral's name for it is "partial contains 5.8S ribosomal RNA, internal transcribed spacer 2, and large subunit ribosomal RNA". The stretch from base 1 to 120 matches the Rfam family "5.8S ribosomal RNA", at positions 37 to 154 of the family's 154-position model. The record is from RNAcentral.